AGAGGAGCUGCAGAGACAAAAUGAAAACCUAGAGAAGAUAAUUGCACAACUCCAAGAGCAAAAGGAAAGGAGAGAAGAUUUUCCUGUAACAGAACAACUGCAGAGAGAAAUUGCCCAACUCAAGGAGGAAAAGGGGAACUUGGAGAAGAGAAUAAAAGAACUACAGGAGGAAAAGG
Molecule: long non-coding RNA, 176 nt
Organism: Dermochelys coriacea (leatherback sea turtle)
Lineage: Eukaryota; Metazoa; Chordata; Testudines; Dermochelyidae
Exons: 8
Source: RefSeq, a predicted model, not a curated record